AGGUUAAAUAGUAUGGCUUUAGAAGCAGAUUUAAAACUUGAAGUUUGAUCCUCAAGUUCCUUUCCAGGAUAUCGGUAAGGUUUUGGUUCUGCCUUAUAUCUGCUCUAGUGCCAAAUAUGCAGAAUGUUUUGCUCUCUUAUCUAUCUGAAAAAAACUUGAUUGGCUGAUUUGUUUAGCAGUGGUCCCAUUCACUGUAAAGAGGAAAGAUUCCAUCAUCAGUAUAUUCCUUUGACCUGGUAUUCACAGUCCCCUAUCAGCUUUAUGCGUUACUGACCUCCACAGGCAUUUUAGGGGAAGGCACAGCAGGAAAAGAGACGAAGCUAUAGGUAUGGCACUAAUUCUGUCCUGGGACCAACAGCUCAUGGGAGAGUCAUGGAAUAGUUAUCAAAGUAGUGAUGUGAAAAGAAAGGAAAUGCUGAUUCAGAACAGAGUACAGGUCAGAAGAAAAGGACACUCUUCUGUCUUCAGUGUUCUGGAGAUGGACUCUUAGAGCAAGUUUAAAAAUUUACAUACAGGACAGCACUUGUCCAGUUGUGGAAAAUGUUGUUAUUGGACAUUGACGGUAAUUCUGGAGUCCCUUUGCAGCAUCCCAAAGGCAUACAGUCUAUAUAAUGGAAAAUGAAGACUGAUACAUCGUUUGAGUUUAUGACCUACCUAGAGCUUCCUCAAAUGUAGCGUGCAGUCACAGAAUGGGCUCCUGAGGACCUACAGAGAAGAUUAAAAAUAGUUGCAUUUCUGUGGAUAUGCUUUUCUGUUGUGGCAGUUUAAGAUACUCUGGGAUGGUAUUUUGUCAAGGAAUAAAGGUAAGUGAGGAAUAGUUAUUUUUCAGGCUUACUUUUGUGUUAUCCUGUGGCACAAUAGCCUUC
This is a long non-coding RNA of Numida meleagris (helmeted guineafowl), 866 nucleotides long. RefSeq lists it as uncharacterized. NCBI's taxonomy places the organism in Eukaryota, Metazoa, Chordata, Aves, Galliformes, Numididae. The transcript is spliced from 5 exons. The record is from RefSeq and is a predicted model, not a curated record.